Molecule: ribosomal RNA, 253 nt
Filed under: uncultured bacterium
Lineage: Bacteria
Description: partial 16S ribosomal RNA
Rfam family: Bacterial small subunit ribosomal RNA
Source: RNAcentral
GACGAACCGUGCGAACGUUGUUCGGAAUCACUGGGCUUAAAGGGCGCGUAGGCGGUUCAUCAAGUCAGGAGUGAAAUCUUUCGGCUUAACCGGAAAAGUGCUUCUGAUACUGAUGAUCUCGAGGGAGGUAGGGGUCCGCGGAACUUCUGGUGGAGCGGUGAAAUGCGUUGAUAUCAGAAGGAACGCCGGUGGCGAAAGCGGCGGACUGGAUCUCUUCUGACGCUGAGGCGCGAAAGCUAGGGGAGCAAACGGG